CAGAACAUCACAGCUCAAAAUGUUCCCUAUAUUUAUCUGCAUAGGCCUCCCUCAGUCACAUGGAUUGGAAAACCUGGGAAACAAUUAAUAUAAGAGGUAAUUUGCUAUAGUCAAAGAAGCUGACUGACACUUGGCUUGAGGAAGGGGUAAGGAAGAGCCCAACAGGUUCUCCUUUAAGCAGAUCCUCGUUGUUUGGCUGUGGGAAAGGGAUCUGGGGGAAGAGAUCAUGGGUCUCCCUUACCAACAGAGGCCUGAAUUUCAGAGGGUGUGGUGGCGGCCUUCAUCUGUACUGCAGGGGGUCCUCCUCCAAAGAGAGCUCCAGGAUAUGACGGUGCAGUGGCGGCCUUCAGCUGCACAGCAGGGGGUCCUCCUCCCAAGAUAGCUCCAGGACAUGGUCUCCCUUGGACACAGGGAUUGGUAAACCUGGGAAACAAUCAGGAGAUCAGAGUGUGCACUGGCAGUCUUCAUGUGCACAGCAGGGGGUCCUCCUCCAAAAGCAGCUCCAAGACAUGGUCUCCUCAGAACACAAGAUUUGGAAAACCUGGGAAAAAUUCAAUGGAACAGGUAAUCCUCCAUAGGCAACGAAGCUAAAUGACACUUGGCUGGUGGAAAGGGGUAAGUGAAGCAGCACAGCAGGGGUUUCCCUCCCAAGCUAGAUCUUAGCCAUUGUGGUGGGGGUAGGAAGAGAUCUGGAGGGACAAGAGCAGGGGUCUCCUUACCAACACGGGCCUAAUUUGCAGAAGGUGCCUUGGCGGCCUUCAGUGGCACAUCAGAGGGUCCUCCUCCAAAGAGAGCUCCAGGACAUGGUGAGUCAUUUCCGUGCAGCCCUAAAUGCAGCCCUCCCUAAAAGCCCAACUCUAAAGCCAAUCAAGGGGAGACACUUAGGGAAAUACUGGGUCUCCUUCCUAUGGAAAAAGCA
RNAcentral lists this long non-coding RNA (919 nucleotides) under Sarcophilus harrisii (Tasmanian devil). Its description in RNAcentral is "lncRNA (ENSSHAG00000027968.1)". Lineage: Eukaryota; Metazoa; Chordata; Mammalia; Dasyuromorphia; Dasyuridae. The record is from RNAcentral.